Molecule: ribosomal RNA, 132 nt
Filed under: Cortinarius uraceisporus
Lineage: Eukaryota; Fungi; Basidiomycota; Agaricomycetes; Agaricales; Cortinariaceae
Description: partial 28S ribosomal RNA
Rfam family: Eukaryotic large subunit ribosomal RNA
Source: RNAcentral
UGUGACCUCAAAUCAGGUAGGACUACCCGCUGAACUUAAGCAUAUCAAUAAGCGGAGGAAAAGAAACUAACAAGGAUUCCCCUAGUAACUGCGAGUGAAGCGGGAAAAGCUCAAAUUUAAAAUCUGGCAGUC